AUGCGGCGCGACCGCCCCGAGCUCGCGCACCAGUCCUUCAACGCGCGGGCACGGACCUACAUCCAGGAAUCGGGCGUGGUCGAGCUGGUCAAGUGGUUCAAGCACAACUCGUUGACAUAUCCCCAGAUUGCGAAAGUAGUCUGCUCCUGUUCUGGUGAUCUGGAGAAAGUGAGAAGGAUGCUAAAGUGGUUGAGAUCAAUUUAUGUGAAAGGAGAAUUUUUGGGACGUGUGCUUGCGAAGGGUGAAUCCCUUAUGAGUCGCAGUUUUGAAGAAUUGGAAGAGAUUACUGGCUAUCUGGAAUGCUGUGGUGUUAGGAGAGACUGGAUUGGUCACGUGGUCAGUAGAUGUCCACAGCUAUUGAAUUUGUCCUUGGAUGAGUUAGAGACACGAGUGCAAUUUUAUACAGAUAUGGGAAUGAAUGAGAAUGACUUCGGCACUAUGGUCUAUGAUUAUCCAAAAGUUCUCGGGUUUUUCAGCCUAGAAGAGAUGAACAGUAAGGUUCAAUAUCUGAAAGAGUUUGGUUUGAGCACAGAAGAACUUGGAAAAAUGCUGGCUUAUAAGCCACAGCUCAUGGCCUGCAGCAUUGAAGAAAGGUGGAAGCCACUUGUGAAGUACCUAUAUCAUCUAAACAUUUCACGGGAUGGUAUGAAGCGUAUGUUGGUGGUCCAACCUACGAUUUUCUGUCUUGAUUUAGAGACAGUAAUUGCACCAAAGGUACGAUUUCUACAGGAUAUUGGUGUGAGGAAUGAUGCAGUCGGCAAUGUGCUUGUGAAGUUCCCCCCUGUACUAACUUAUAGUCUGUACAGGAAGUUACGCCCAGUGGUUAUAUUCCUGAGGACAAAAGCUGGAGUAACAGAGGAUGACAUUGGGAAGGUCAUUGCAUUGGACCCGCAGCUCAUGGGCUGCAGCAUCGUACACAAACUGGAAGCCAGCGUCAAGUACUUCCGGACACUGGGCAUCUACCACUUGGUGCUCGGCCAGAUGGUUGCCGACUUCCCGACGCUUCUCCGAUACAAUGUGGAUGUUCUACGUUCAAAAUACCAGUACCUCAGGCGUGUCAUGGUACGGCCGCUGAAAGAUCUUAUCGAGUUUCCCCGGUUUUUCAGUUACUCUUUGGAGCAUAGGAUAGAGCCUCGGCACAAGGUUCUGGUGGCCAACAGGAUAAACAUGAGGCUGCGGUACAUGCUGCCUGGUUCCGAUGAGGAGUUUGCGCAGAGGGUGCAAGAGGCCGUCGAGAGGAGGGCGAGAUUCGAAGCCGGAGAGGCUACUCCGGAGACAUCAGGUGCGCCCGAAACACCCAGCAGCAAUGGAAAUGGCGUAGCAGCAGUAGCCUGUCAAGAGAUGGAGGCAGUACCUUGCAAGAAACAAGAAUUCCAUGUCCCUGACUUGUAG
RNAcentral lists this ribosomal RNA (1392 nucleotides) under Triticum aestivum (bread wheat). Its description in RNAcentral is "partial small subunit ribosomal RNA". The record is from RNAcentral. Lineage: Eukaryota; Viridiplantae; Streptophyta; Magnoliopsida; Poales; Poaceae.